UACGUAGGGUGCAAGCGUUAAUCGGAAUUACUGGGCGUAAAGCGUGCGCAGGCGGUUAUGUAAGACAGAUGUGAAAUGCCCGGGCUUAACCUGGGAACUGCAUUUGUGACUGCAUGGCUAGAGUUUGGCAGAGGGGGGUAGAAUUCCACGUGUAGCAGUGAAAUGCGUAGAUAUGUGGAGGAACACCAGUGGCGAAGGCGACACGCUGGGCCAUACCUGACGCUAAAGCGCGACAGCAUGGGGAGCAAACGGG
RNAcentral lists this ribosomal RNA (253 nucleotides) under uncultured bacterium. RNAcentral's name for it is "partial 16S ribosomal RNA". It matches the Rfam family "Bacterial small subunit ribosomal RNA", at positions 524 to 776 of the family's 1533-position model. The record is from RNAcentral.